AAAUUGAAGAGUUUGAUCAUGGCUCAGAUUGAACGCUGGCGGCAGGCCUAACACAUGCAAGUCGAACGGUAACAGGAAGCAGCUUGCUGCUUUGCUGACGAGUGGCGGACGGGUGAGUAAUGUCUGGGAAACUGCCCGAUGGAGGGGGAUAACUACUGGAAACGGUGGCUAAUACCGCAUAACGUCGCAAGACC
This 194-nucleotide ribosomal RNA is filed under the name Salmonella enterica subsp. enterica serovar Schwarzengrund. Its description in RNAcentral is "partial 16S ribosomal RNA". It matches the Rfam family "Bacterial small subunit ribosomal RNA", at positions 1 to 188 of the family's 1533-position model. The record is from RNAcentral. Lineage: Bacteria; Pseudomonadati; Pseudomonadota; Gammaproteobacteria; Enterobacterales; Enterobacteriaceae.